Molecule: long non-coding RNA, 1127 nt
Organism: Macadamia integrifolia
Lineage: Eukaryota; Viridiplantae; Streptophyta; Magnoliopsida; Proteales; Proteaceae
Exons: 3
Source: RefSeq, a predicted model, not a curated record
CCCCCUUUCAAACCCUCUUCUCUCGUCUCCACGGACGAUGAGAGAGACGGCCACUGGAAAAGCAAAUUCCAUUAAUCCAAACUCUUGCAAUUCUCUGAAACCAAACUCCUAACCGAAGAAGUCUUCUACUCCCGAAACCGAAACCGAAACAGGAAUAAGAUUCAUUCAGAGGGCAUUCGCAUAUCAAAGCACUUUUGUUGCUAAAACCUGAAAGCAACGACGGGAGUCAUACUCUUAUACUGUAUUAUUGUUAUGGUCAAUACAAUGAAGAACAGAGCAAGCUCGGUGAUGGCGGAGAGACAGAAAAGAGAAAAGGGUUUGAAAGGGAGCAACGGUUUUGACCUGAAAUCUGUAAACCAAGAUACCCGAAUCCUCUCUUUGAUUGCUUGCCGUCUCGACUCAAGCCAUGUGUCAGCAGCCUAGACGUCGUCUCCACAGCCGAUGUUUUCCCAGAUUUUUUUCUCUCUUACCAUAUUUUGUUACAGAAUCCCAUCCAGAUUUUGUGACCGAACAAAUCUGGAUUUUCAUCAUUUAGUCGGAUAGGAAGUCGGCGGUUCUCUUUUCUUUAUCUAUAAAUACCAACCAUGGCAGGCCAAGAAUUUAAUAAGAGAAGAUCAAGAGAGAUCAAGAGAGAGAUGGGAGCUAUGAAUGUUCGUUCCUUGGCAAUGGUAGCCUUAGUGAUCGCCGGAAUUAUAAUCACCGGCGAGGUAGUGUCAGCACAGUUUUGCCAAGAUGAUUAUAAGAGUAUAAUGAUGCAAUGCCCACCUUAUAUCAACAAAAAGGGCCCACAAACCGAUCCAUCGGGGGAUUGUUGCGAUGCUAUGAAGAAAGCUGAUAUUAAAUGUGUUUGCCAGGUCAUCUCUCAAUUUAAGGACGUAAAGCAACGAAUCAGCAAGGAGAAGAUGGUCUACGUUGCUAACUACUGUGGCACAUCUGUUCCUUCCGGGAUCGACUGUGGAAGUUAAACUGUUCCAGUGGCCGGCAUGAGAUGGAUCAUGGAGAGGGGUUGGAGUGGAGGAUUAUGACUAGUUAGAAUAAAUGUACCAGAUGUUUAUGAACUUUGGGUUGUCUGAUCAUGUAAGUGUUAAUGCUAAUAAAGAGUACAGAAAGAAGUUCUUAUGCUGAAA